UACAUAGGGGUCAAGCGUUGUCCGGAUUUAUUGGGCGUAAAGCGUAUGUAGGCGGCUAGGUAAGUCAGGCGUGCAAGCCCGUGGCUCAACCACGGAAUUGCGUUUGAAACUGCUUAGCUUGAGUACAGGAGAGGAAAGCGGAAUUCCCAGUGUAGCGGUGAAAUGCAUUGAUAUUGGGAAGAACAUCUGUGGCGAAGGCGGCUUUCUGGUCUGUUACUGACGCUGAGAUACGAAAGCCAGGGGAGCAAAGGGG
This 253-nucleotide ribosomal RNA is filed under the name uncultured bacterium. Its description in RNAcentral is "partial 16S ribosomal RNA". It matches the Rfam family "Bacterial small subunit ribosomal RNA", at positions 524 to 776 of the family's 1533-position model. The record is from RNAcentral.